GCCCAAUAAACGGCUCUGGGCAUUCGUAAACCACGUUUCAAAUACGAGAAAAUGAAUGCCUAGUUCCCAGACCCCGUCUCAUUUGAGAUGAGGGUAUGACGUUAGCCAGGCUACAGUAGGCCUAUAA
Alosa sapidissima (American shad) is the source of this 127-nucleotide long non-coding RNA. RefSeq lists it as uncharacterized. The record is from RefSeq and is a predicted model, not a curated record. NCBI's taxonomy places the organism in Eukaryota, Metazoa, Chordata, Actinopteri, Clupeiformes, Clupeidae. The transcript has 3 exons.